CGCCCCUUAGAGUUUGAUCCUGGCUCAGAUUGAACGCUGGCGGCAGGCCUAACACAUGCAAGUCGAACGGUAACAGGAAGCAGCUUGCUGCUUCGCUGACGAGUGGCGGACGGGUGAGUAAUGUCUGGGAAACUGCCUGAUGGAGGGGGAUAACUACUGGAAACGGUAGCUAAUACCGCAUAAUGUCGCAAGACCAAAGAGGGGGACCUUCGGGCCUCUUGCCAUCGGAUGUGCCCAGAUGGGAUUAGCUAGUAGGUGGGGUAACGGCUCACCUAGGCGACGAUCCCUAGCUGGUCUGAGAGGAUGACCAGCCACACUGGAACUGAGACACGGUCCAGACUCCUACGGGAGGCAGCAGUGGGGAAUAUUGCACAAUGGGCGCAAGCCUGAUGCAGCCAUGCCGCGUGUAUGAAGAAGGCCUUCGGGUUGUAAAGUACUUUCAGCGGGGAGGAAGGCGGUGAGGUUAAUAACCUCAUCGAUGACGUACCCGCAGAAGAAGCCCGGUACUCG
RNAcentral lists this ribosomal RNA (510 nucleotides) under uncultured bacterium. RNAcentral's name for it is "bacterial SSU rRNA". It matches the Rfam family "Bacterial small subunit ribosomal RNA", at positions 1 to 504 of the family's 1533-position model. The record is from RNAcentral.